RNAcentral lists this long non-coding RNA (16880 nucleotides) under Marmota monax (woodchuck). Lineage: Eukaryota; Metazoa; Chordata; Mammalia; Rodentia; Sciuridae. The record is from RNAcentral.
AGGAGAGCAGAGCGCGGGAGCUGUUUUCUCACGGGUUCCUGUCCCCGAGCCCGGUGGUGCUCGCUCUGAGCGCUCACGGACAGCUAAGGGCUUGGCUCUCUCGCGCUGUGACGAGCGCUGCCUGCCCGCUCCUCUUGCUCUGCCCCAUCCCCUGCAACAGACCACAAGGUACAAGACGAUGAUGAGACCGAGAGAACAGCCGCUCUCGGGUGUCUGUGACCCGCAAGGCGACCGCGGAGAGCACACACCGAUUGCCCCAUUCCUCGUAGGCAAUUAGCUGAUUGCUGCCCGCCCGCAGCCGCAGCCAGCGAGCGAGGAGCGCGCAGGAUCUCGCUGCCUGCCCACCUCUCCUGCAAACAGAGGCACGUUCUCUGACUUUGAUAGCUCCCUGGGUUCCCGUGAAAAACAACCGCCGCGUUGCCAGAGCGUGUUUCUCAAAUACCAGCAUCAGGGGAUCGCAGAAUUACAGCAACAAAUGUUACGAGGUAAUAUUUUCCAUAUAGACACGAGGAAAAAAAAUCCAAAUAGAACCAUUAAAUAAUAAUCUUCAUUAAACCCCAAACCAAACCAAACACAAUCAUUCUUAAAAGUGUAUUAAAAAGAAGGGGGGGGGGGUGAGCCUCAAAUGUUUUAAGAGAAGAUUAAUAAUUUGCUCAUUAAUUUGAUUGGAUAAUUACACACCAUUGGUCUUUCCGGAGUAGUGCACUUUUAAAAAAUUAUUAGAAAAGCCUUUUAGAUUUCUCCCAUGCAACAUACUCAUCAGGUGUGCAGAAAGCUUUUUAGCAUGCAAAAAAAUGAAUCACGAUAUUAGACAAUGUACUGAUGUUUUUUUUUCCCUAUAAGGAGACAGCCUUUCCUAAAACAUUAAUCUGCUGCAAAAAGAUGCUCCUAAUUUAGAAGAAAUUAGACUCAGAGUCUACUCAGCAAACACCUCUGCUAACGCUUCAUUAGUAUGUAUUUUCACAUAAUUCAAUUAGCCAAAACACAUACGCAUGCUAGCAGAGCUUUAGCUGCUCUGGGAGUGUCAGCAAGGCUUUAAGCAGAUCUGAAACAAAAUUGCAUAAAUGGCAUGUAAAGCUCUGUGCAUACAAAGAUACCUUCAGGGUUCUAAUAAAUUCAUGAAACUUUUUAAAGUAUGAUUUCCUAGCAGGCAAUCACUUUUAAUUAACAGGAUCACCUACAGCAACACAUGUCCUUCAAAAACUUACAUUAUUUUUUCUUUUUGAAUUUCAAAGUUUCUGUAGUAAAAGUUGAAUAGCUGAGUAGCUUAACCUCAAAAGGAUUCCAGGCUUUUAUGACAGUUAUAAAUCACUGUGGUGCCUUCUUUAUAAGAAGAAAAGAUUCUUAACACAACAGAGAAAGAAGGAAAUCUCUUUUUAGUCAUAGCUAGAAGCAAGCAUUUUCUCCAAAGGUCAAAAAACUUUUCCUCAGUUAAAGAAUAAUUUUAAGGACAUUGCAGCUACUUGUACAAGUAAUCUCUUGUAAUUUACUCUAUGAAUUAAACAUUCAAUUUCUAGGAUUGUGGUUUGACACAGGAUGGACUCCCCUCUUUUUCUGGAGCUAGCUUUGUAGAGUUUUCCCUCUUUUCAUUUUUUAGUAAACAUGGGCCAUGGCUGAAUGUAGGGUCUUAUACUUAAUGAGCCCUUCUCCUUGAGGAAAAUCAGAAUUUUGUAGAUUCGCCCAAAGAUUCAUUUGAGUGGUUCUUGCCAUUUCUUUUUCAGGCCUUUGUUUGAAAGAUAGGGAUAUGCUCAAAGGCUGUCUAGGGCUAAUGAUUAGGUUGCAGAAUCAGAAAAAGAGACUUUGACAAAUUUGAGAUGAAGAAUGAAGGACACUGAAAAGAAAACCUGUUCGCCUUCCCUCCUGUUGUCCUCAAGCAAAGUGGAUCAUUGUGGAAGGGUAACUGCAGCUCCAACAGGACACCUUGGUGGAGAGACUUGCACUAGUCGCUUUCUGCCUCCCUGCCAUAGCCCCUCAAACCCAGUAUUUUUUCUCUACCUUGUGAGACUCCCUUUGUUUUGUGAUUUUUCCCAAGUGCAGGAGAGUAAUCACUCAGCGGGACAUGUGGGGAGUGUAAUCAGGAUGGUGACUUCUGCCCUUCAGAAAGUUAUGAAGAGACAUGAUCAGGGGGCAAGGGAAGAGGGAUCAACCUUUGUUGGUGGUUUUAUAUCUAAGCACUUCUCUCCACCGCAGGGUAUUUCCUGAAGGCAGCCAACAUUUCUCAGGUGAUUGCAGAAGAUUUGGGGUUGGUCCACCACCUCUACAAGUGCUCCUCUCAAACCCAUUCUCCAUAUUGAAUUCAUUCAUUGAUAUAUAUUUUUUAGUUGUAGUUGGACACAAUACCUUUAAUUUUAUUUAUUUAUUUUUAUGUGGUGCUGAGGAUCAAACCCAGCACCUCGCACAUGCUAGGCGAGUGCUCUACCGCUGAUCCACAACCCCAGCCCUCAUUCAUUAAUUUUUUUUUAAAGAAAUUAGCCUAGCCAUAGACUUUAUUUAAUGUCAGGGAUGAAGAACUUUUUCAAAAUGUAAAUCUGACUACUAAAUGCCCAAAUUUGGAGCAAAACUCCUUUAUGAUCUUACUCUCUGCUUAUAUUUUCAGCUUUAACUUUUGCUCUCCUUUUACAUAUUUGAGUUCCUGCCAUAUGGGACUAUUGGGCUCUGCCCCCUCUACCAGGUUAUUUUCUUUAUCAUUUUUUUUUAAUGUGACUUUUUAGUCCCACACGUCUCCAAGGUACAGACCCUUCUAGGCUGUGUCAGCACACCUUCUGUCUAUGCUGGUGAAUAUUUAUUGAACACAUAAUCUGUAUUGGGUACUGUUCUGGAGACACAAUGAUGAAUAAGACAAACCUAUGUUCUAAUGGAGCUUAUAUUUUAGUGGAAAAGAAAUAUCAUAUAGCUACUCAAAUAAAUAAAUAGGAAAAUUUGUGACUGUGAUAAUUGUGAUGAAGGUAGGAGGCCAACUUCAGGCAGGUAUUGAGCUGGUCUCUGUGAGGAAUACAGAUCUGAACUGAGGUGUUGAAAAGGAACCAACCUGAGAAUAUCUAACAAAGCUCAUUUCUUUGCAGAAGAGAAACAAGCACAAAGUUCCUGAGAGAGGUAGGAGAUUGGUGUGUUGAAGACAGAAAGCCAGUGUUGAUAUUAUGUAUCAAGCAUGUCAUACUUUUCAGGACCUUCUCAACCUGGGGUCCUGAUAGCAGACCCAUCUGGUCUUCUUACUGAGCAUUAUAACUAAGACUUUACCAGAAAUAAAGUUGCUAUUUCUUUUCCUUCUUUUUAAAGUCAUAUAUGUUUAUUUAUUUUUUUAAAGAGAGAGAGAGAGAGAGAGAGAGAGAGAGAGAGAGAGAGAGGGAGGGAGGGAGAGAGAAUAUUUAUUUUUGUUUAGUUCUCUGCGGACACAACAUCUUUGUUUGUAUGUGGUGCUGAGGAUCGAACCCAGGCCGCACGCAUGCCAGGCGAGCGCGCUACCGCUUGAGCCCCAUCCCCAGCCCAAGUCAUAUAUGUUUAAAGUAUAGAUAUGAUGUUUUCACACCACAUACACAGAGCAAUGAUUUCUGCAGUUAAACAAAUUAUCCAUCAUCUUUACAUAGUUACCUUUUAUUUAUUUAUUUAGUGGUUAAAGUACCUAAAAUCGACUCUAUUAGCAAAUUUCCAGUAUAUAAGACAGAAUUAACAACUAUAGUCCUCAUCUUGACUGAUGGAUACCUAGACUUAUUUAUCCCAUAUAUCUGAAAUUUUAUUUCUCAGUUUGAAAUAAGGCAGGGUAGAGGGGUGUCAUUUAUUGGUUUCCUCAAAAACUUCAGCAUUAAUACAUUUGUCUUUUUUUUCCCCCACUGUAGUUUGUUUAUUUACUUCACAGAGUUUCUUUACUCUUAUUGUUUGGAUGUGAGGUGUCCCCCGCAAAAGCUCACAUGAGAGACAAUGCAAGAUGGUUCAGAGGGGGAGAUGAUUGGCUUGUGCGAGCCUUAACCCAACCAGUGAAUUAAUCACCUGAUGGGAUUAAUUGAAUGAAGAUUGGAGGCAGGUGGGGUGUGGUUGGAGGAGGUGGGUCAUUGGGGGUUUAUAUUUUGUAUCUAGCAAGCGGAAUCUCUUUCUCUGCUUUCUGAUCAUUGCAUGAGCUACUUCCCUCCACCACACUCUUCUGCGGUGAUGUUCUGCCUCACCUUGAGACCUGAGGAAUGGAACCUGCUGUCUAUUCGUUAAGACUGCUAAAACCGUGAGCCCCCAGAUAAACUUUUCCUCCUCUGAUAUUGUUCUGGUCAGGUCUUUUAUUCACAGGGGUGAAAAAGCUGAUUAAAACAUUUAACAUGCCAAACUUUUUAUUUUUUAUGAAGUCAAAUUUACUGUUUUUUUCAUUUAUAGUCAUAUUUCUUUUAUAGGUCAUAAUUAAGUUUUUCUCAUUCUAAAAUUUAAAGUUUCUCAUUUUUUUUCUAGUACUUUUAAGGUUUCAUUUUUUUCUUCUUUGCAUUUAGAUCUUUGAUCUUUCUGGCAUUUUUUUUGGGGGGGGGGUAUAAUAUGGUAGAGAUCCUAAUUUCUUUUUAAAGUGCCUAUACAGUUGUCUUGAAAUUUUUAUUGAAUAGUCUAUCUUUUUUCCUAAGUCUGAGGUAACUUUAUUAAGAAUUACAGUUUUUUUUUUUUUUUCUGGGUGCAAUGCAUCCCUGUAACCCCAGCGACUCAGGAGGCUGAGGCAGGAGGCUUCCAAGUUCAAAGCCAGAAUUGCCAACUUAGCGAGGCCCUAAGCAACUUAGUGAGACCUCUGGGGAUGUGACUCAAUGGUAAAGUACCCCUAGAUUAAAUCCCUAGUACCAUACCCCCCAAAACUGCAUUGGGGGGCACUACAUUUGGCUGUUCAUGUGUGGGCUUAAUCAUUUGCCAUUUAUUCAGCUAUUUGAAUUACUGUAUCUUCAUAAUAUUUCAUAUCUGACAGGGUAAGUCACUCUUGUUUUUUUUCCCUUGUAUAGUUUUCUGAUGUAUUUAUGUAUGUUUACAUUUUGGUUUGAAAUUGCCUUCAUUUUGCACUUAAUGGUUUCUGUCUACAGUUACAGCUUGAUGGCUAGUUCCCCUCAGCAUGGUGGAAGAUAUAGUUCCACUGAGUUUUGGCUUCCAUUGUUGGGGUUAAAAGCAUGCUGUCAGCUGGGCAUAGUGGUACAUGCCUGUAAUCCUAGAGAUCCUGAAGCAGGAGGAUGGUGAAUUCAAACCAGUCUCAGCAACUUAGAGAGGCCUUAAGUGACUCAGCAAGACCCUGUCUCUAAUAAAAUAUAAAAAAGGGCUAGAGAUGUGGCUUGGUGGUUAAGUGCCCCUGGGUUCAAUCCCUGGUACCAAACAAACAAACAAAACCCAAAACAUGUCUCAUCAUUCCUUUGUGACUCAUCUAGCUUUUCUGAUUUUUUUAAACAUUUAUUUAUUCUCUGAUUGCUUUUAAGAAUUUCUCUUUGUCUGAUGUUAUAUAACAUGUCUACUUGAGAAUUUCUUAUUGCUUGGUGCUUGUUGUGAUUCCCAAAUCUGAGCAUUCUAUUAUCAUUCUAUUAUUGGAAGUACUCAUUUCCGUCUCUGUAAUAUUGUCUCUACUCUUUUCUUCUGAUAUAAAUGGAGGUAUAUAUGUGACCUUGUCAUUUUGUCUCUCAUACUAUUGAUCUCUCCAUGGUUUCCCUCUGCUCUACUUCUAAACACCAGAGUGCUCCAGGACUCAAUCACUCUCCUUUCUCUUCCUUGGCAAAUUCAUCCAUCUUAUGGAUUUCACACCAUUUCCAUGCUGAUGACUCUUAGAUUUUAUUUUCUGCUUUUUCUUUGCUCCCUUCUGACUUAUGCAUUUAUUUGCCUCCUUGCUAUUUCCAUUGAAAGUCUCAGAAUGCAGCUGCCUAUUCCUCUAGUCUGCUCUUAUUUCAGAAAAUGACACCGUUUUCAUCCUGUAGUUCAUACCACAAACCUGAGUCAUGUCUUUCCAUCUUCUUUAACUCUAUACCCAACCAGUGAGACGUUAUGUCUUUUAAACUUUUAAAAGCUUUUGUUAUACCUUUCAAACUUUUAAAAGAAUAUUGAAGUUGUCCUUUUCACUUAGUUUUUUUUUUUUUUUUUAAAUCACUACUCUCAUCCAAAUCACCCUUGUCUAUCAUUUAGACUUCUGUGCUAGCUCUAACUAGGCUUCCUGCAUGCAUUUAUUUCCCUGGGCAAUCCUUUCUCCCCUCAAAGAUUUUCUUUAAAUGUAAAUGAAAUUGUGCCCUUGUUAAAAAAAAAAAAACCUGUUAACACCUGGCCGAAGUCUGGCUGGGCACAAAAUCACGAGCCACUCAAGCAGGAACAAACUUUAUUUCUGAAACUCCCGCCAAUGCCACGCACGCAGGCUCCCGGGAAAUAUGCCGAACCACCCACGCAGCGUUCUCCCAGGCCACACUACACCAACAGGAAAAUCCCUCCUCCGGAAAUCCCUCCUCCCGCACUUCCCCAACCAAUGGGAACUCUCCGGGAGUCCCGCUAGAGCUCCAAAGUAGCAGGCCAAGGAGGACAGCAGGAGUCUAAUAUCCAAUUGAAUACAGAUCUUAACAUAAUCUUAUCAUCUCAAUGGCUUGCUGGUAUCACCUUUCAACCAAAAAUGCCAUGCAUCAUUUCUACUUGGCUAUGGCUCUCAGCAACACCUUCCUUUUAUUUUGUAAAAAUCUACGUGGUCUGAUCCUAUACUCAAUUUCUUCAACAUCAUUUCAUAUCAUUUUGCUCCUUUAUUACCACAUUGGAAACAUAAGAUGUGUAAGAUAGUUAUCUAUAAAAUGGCUAUCUUUGUUACAGAUUAUAUAUAUAUAUCCAGAAGUGUAUUUUGUCUUAUAUUAAUGUAGCUAUUCUACCUUUAUUCUAAUUUGGUAUAUGCCUAGUAUGUAUUUUUUACCUAUUUCUUCUUUAUAUUUAAAGUAUAUGUCUUAUAAUAGGCACACCGUGGGGUCCUGCUUUUCUUUUUUUUUUCUUUUCUUUCAGGAUGACAAUCUCUUUCUUUUAAUUGGAGCAGUUAGAACAUUUACAUUUAAUGGAUUGCUUGGUGAAGUUGUUUUAACUUAUCAUCUUAGUAUUUGUUUUCUAUUUGUCUUUUUUUCUCUCUGCUCUUCCUCUCUUUCUGUUUUCUCUUUCAAGGAAUUAGCUAUUUUCAAAUAUUUCAUGUUAUCUUCCUUGUUGUGUGUUAGCUACACUUCAUUUGGUUUUUAAUGGCUCCUUUGGGGUUUGCUCUUUGUAUUUUUAACUUAUCACAGUUAAACUUUGUGUUAGUUGGCUUUUAGUUGCUGUGUAAAAUUCCUGACACAAACAACUUGGAGGAGGAAAAUUUAUUUUGGCCCAUCGUCAUUUCAGAGAUUGGAGUCCUUGAUCAGUCAGCUCCAUUGCUCUGAGCCUGAGGUGAGGUAGAACAUCAAGGCAGAAGGGUAAAUCUGCUCUGCUUGUGGGAACAAGAAUGGGUGGUGGUGGGGGACCAGAGAGAAAAGAUAAACUCUUCCAGGUCACAUCCCUAGUGACCUACUUCCUUGAAUUAGGUCCCACCCAUCUCCUGGUAGCUAUUCAGCCAUGAAUGCAUUAAUCCACUGAAGAGGGCAGAACCUUCAUGAUCCAAUCAUUUCCCCAAAGCUCCACCUCUGCACAGGUGAGAUUUUGGGGGACAUUCCAGGUCCAAAGCAUAACAAACUAUAAAUAUAUAAACUAUAAACUAUAAACUAUCUUACCACUUCAUGCUUAGAAACUUGUAAUAAUGUACUUUCUUAUCCUAUUAUUUUUGACAUAAACUGUGUUCUUUACAUAUGCCAUAAGUACCAUAAUAUGUUUUUUUUAGAUGUUGAUGGACUUUUAUUUUAUUCAUUUAUUUAUAUGUGGUACUGAGAAUCGAACCCAGUGCCUCACAAAUGCUAGGCAAGCACUCUGCCACUGAGCCAAAACCCUGGCCCCCUGGUUUUAUUUUUUAAUAAAUAAUUACAUAAGGGGCUGGGGUUGUGGCUCAGUGGUAGAGCCUAGCAUUUGUGAGGCACUGGGUUCAAUUCUCAGCACCACAUAUAAAUAAAUGAAUAAAAUAAAGGUCUAUCAACAUCUGAAAAAGAUUUAAAGAAAUAAUUAUGCAAACAUGUAAUUAUUAAAAAAUAAUAAGAGUGUUUUAUAUUAACUUAAUAUUUAUCAUUUCCAAUGCCCUUUAUUCCUUUAAUUUGAGAUACUUCCUAUUGCUUUUCUCAAAAUAUUUAUUUUCUUUUCUUUUAAUUUUUUUUUUUAGUUGUAGAUGGGCACAAUAGUUUAUUUACUUAUUUAUUUUUAUGUGGUGCUGAGGAUUGAACCCAGAGCCUCAUACCUGGGAGACAAGUGCUUUACCACUGAGCUACAGCCUCAGCCCCUUUAUGUUCAUUUUGGAUGGAUAUUUUUACUGGGUAUAGAAUUCCAGGCUGGCUUUUUUUUUUUUUUUAAUUCCUCAGGACUUCAAAGAUUUAUUAUGUUGUCUUCUAGCUUUAAUUGUUUCUGAUAGGAAGUUUGACAUUCUUAUCUUUAUUCUCCUGUGUGUGAUAUAUUUUUUCCAUUGGUGACUUUUUAUGAUUUCCUUUUUUUCACUUGUUUAUAUCACUUUGAUAAUGAUGUGGCUUGAUGUGGUUUUCUUAUUGAAAAAAUAAUAAAACUUCUGCUUGAAGUUUUUUUUCUUGAUCUCUAGGUUUCUUGCUUUCAAGUUUUGAAAAUUUCUGAUCACCAUUUCUACAAAUAAUUUUUCCCUUCUCUGGUAUUUCAGUAUACAUAUGUUACACUACUGAUAUAAUGUUAUAGUCACUGAAACCCCUUUGUUUGAUUUUGGAUAGUUCACACUGAUCUGUCCUCAAGUUUACUGACUUUAUUUAAAUAGUGUUCAACCUUUAAUCUUUGAUAACUUUAUCCACUGAAUUUUCCAUUUGAGAUAUAUUUUUUUCACGACAGAAGUUUCAUUUAGUUAUUUAUUUUACUAUCUUCCACUCUUCAUUAUGUCUACAUCUUCCCCUAAAUUCUUUGGCAUACUUAUAAUAGCUGUUUUCAAUAUUCUUGUUUAUUAAUUUCAUCAUCUCUGUCAUUUCUGUAUCAAUUUCUAUUGACUUAUUUUCCUUCUAAUUAUCAGUCACAUUUUUUUCUGCUACUUAUCAUGUGUGGUAUUUUUGAUUGGGUGCUGGACAUUGUGACCCUUACAUUGUUGAAUGUCUAUAGAGUUUAUUGUUCUACAUUUGUAUAGAAUUAAGGUAAUUAAAUUAAUUAAAGACCAGCUUUCUUUUUUUGACCUUACUUAAAGCUUUUAAAGGACUAGUCUAGAGUAAUUUCUAUUCUACUUAGAGCUAAAUUAAGUAGCUCUGGAAUCUCUGCUGAAUGAACCAGUCUCUCCAUUUUAGCCAGUUAGACCUUGAACUCCUUUUAGUAUUGUGUAAUUUGCAAAAGGUGUUUUCAACUACAGCUCCUAGUUGUUCCUUGUUUGGCCUUGUGGAUUUUCAUUUUGUGUAUUAAUAGCAUAUUCUUCAGUGAAAAGUUCAGAAAGUCUCCUACACAUAUUUUACCAAAUUGCACCUCUUUGGUCCUCUACUCUAUAAAUUCUGGGUGACUAUGGUUCAUCAAACUCUUUUCUUUUCCUUUUCCAUUCAGGGUUAUUUCCAGAUUCAACUUUGGUACCUCUUCCUUGUGCUGAAGUUCAGAAAAUGCCCCCCCACCCCCCUGUAGUAAUCUGGGAUGAAAAAAAUCCAAGAUGACAUAUUGGCAUGUGGCAGAGCCCACAUUCAAGCCUAAGUCUCCGAGUCUCUAGAGCCCGUGUUCUCUUUCCUAGGGAUGUUGCAGAGCAAGUCACCCUGGUUUUCUGGGCUGCAGGAUUCAGAGGCCACAUAAGUGAAAUGCCUUUCAAUCUGAAUAAAAAUGACUGUGAAUUAACCAAGGCUCACUGGCCAAAGCAGAUGAAAGAACUGAGUUUGUAGACAAUCAGUAAGGGAGAAAAAAAUAGUAGAAGGAGUAUGAACAUACAUGAUCAUUGCACCAGAUUACUUUUCAGUUUUAUAAUUGUUUUUGUUUUAUAUUGUUUUGGUUUUUUUGUUUGUUUUUACCUUGACUGAUAGGUAGCAAUAGUACAUUAAUCUGGCAGGUUGUCAAAAGUGGUGCUAUAGAUGUUAGCUUGGCAGAUCAAAACAUUUUCAUCCAAAACUGUUUCUUCCCAAAGCAUAUAAUACAAUGAUCCUUCUUUGAUGUUCACUAACAAUAUGUAGAUUCUACUAGAAAUCAUUAAUUUUAUUUCUCUAUAGUUCCUUUUGCUUUCUAUUUUUAGAGUGGCUGACCAAACUAAUAAAAACUGCAAUAAGUCAGGCAUCCCUGGUUGGAAAAUUCUAAAAAUAGCAAAAACAGCUGUGCUCAAGUUUGCUCUUGUUCUAUUUGUGAAGGAUUUGUCAAGCAGGUAGAAGUAUCCAUUCUUUUAAUUGGAUGUACUUAUUUCAGAUGAUGUUUAUCUAUUCCUUAAAACCAUUACUCAAAUGAUUUCUACUUGAAAAUUUCACUGAAAGCAAACUAUGAAGGUAUAAUUUUGUAAUAUUCUUGCAUGAAGAGUUUUCACUAGGUCAUAUUGGCCUUCCUCCCUGUUCACAUCAUGUUCUAGUGCUUGGUUAUAUUUAGAGACUUGCAGAAUUGAUUUUUACUUGCAUUAUAGCAUAGCUCAUCUCCAACUGCUGUCACCUCCCAGACAAAACUUAUUUCUUCUAUAGGAGGAAGCUGGUUUCCUAAAGGGUACCAUGAGCUUUCAGAGUUUUGUUUUAUUAGCUGUUGCUGCAAGUACCACAUGGGUAGAGGCUGGGAGUGUUCUACCUCAGCAGAGGCUGUCCCCUGCUCCCCAUUUCUGCCCUUCUACAAUUACUUUAUUCAGUGUCACAGUAGGACUCACCUACUGUUGUUGAUGAAUGACAAGCUUUUCAGGACUUUACUGUUAGGAAUUUUAAAGGGAUCUGAGUAAGAGAGAUUUAUUUGACUUUUCAAACUACUUAGCAAAGACAACAAGUUUGUAAACAGAUACCUGAACAUCCAAAGUUAAACUUGUUAUCAGAAACAAUUGGGCAAGAUAUUUAAAAAGAAAAAAAAAGUAGAGAUCAGUGCAAAUAUUAACAUUGGUUUCUCCUUGCAAACUCUGGAGAAAUUAUUGAGGGAACACUUUCUAAAUGUAGUUGCCUAUGCUCAAGGUCACAUCAUACAUAUCUGGCAACUAUGCUCGUGCUUUCAGAUCUCUUGGGUUUUACCUCUGUAAGGACUCUCAAAUUGUGGUGAAAUUGAAUGUGGAGCUUUUAUGGAUGAAUACUAAUUUAAGCAAUGUUGUAUGUGAUGAACUGUUAUCUAGCAGGAUGGUGAUCAGUUGUCUAUUGCUGCAUAACAAACCAUUCCAAAAAGUUGUGCUUUAAGACAACGAUUUAUUAUUUCUCAUGAUUCUAUAGUACACUGGGGUGGUCCUUUUGUGCUCCAAGUGGUUUGAUUGAGGAUCCCUUGUGUGCUUGUGUCUUUUAGGUUCUGGACUUCUUCACAGCAAAGAAGAGAAAGAAGUUAGCAGCUACCAAGCAUAAGAUAGGUCUGCAAAUGGCACAUUUAUUCCACUGAAGUCUGUUGGUUAGAUUAAGUCACAUGGCCAGUUCAGGAUUCAAAGGGAGAGUAACUAGACUCCAUCUCUAGAUAGGAAGAGCAACACCUGCACAGACUAUGGAGAGAGGCCAUCUUUGGAAGCUAUCUAACAUAUACACCAUCCCUCCUAGUGUCUCCCCAUUGUCCUUCAAUAAUUACUAGUACCUUCCUGUACUCUGACAAUAGUCUUUGUGUGUAUUAUAAAUUAUAUGGUUGCACUACCCAUAAAAUACCUUCUAAUAUGCCACAUUACAAAUUUUAACUAGUAAGACUGUUGUACCAUGGAGUGAGGCCAAGACUCCCUCUUGGUUUAAUAUCUAGCAAGGUUUUUUCCUCAAACAAGCACAAUAAUGGUUUUGCAAGUCAGUCUUUGUAUUUCUGGGUCAGCUGCUUGCUGUAUGGCAUUUGUGAAGAGGACUUUGUAUCUGUGCAGCCUAGACAGAAAAAGAUAAUGAUCCUCUCUUCUCUAUCUCUCUGAGGCAUUUUAAGUUAUUUAUAUCAAAAAUUUCCUAGCAGCAGACAGACACAGCAGAACUGGAGCACAGCACACUUUGUGAUUGUGUAGGUUUUAGCUAUGUUCAAAUCACCUGCAACAUAACUAAAGGAUAAAGAUUUAAGGAAGUUCUCUGGGCUGGGCACAUGUAAAACUGUGACCAAGUAGACCAAGACUGUGUUAAUAUCUUAGUCUCUCCAUCUCCUCUUUUUCAAUCUUCUAGGCCCUUUGACUGUAUCCCUGUACAUAGUACUUGUUUGUCAUCCCUCACUUGUUGUGAAAUUUUGUACAAAGAUUACCCAGGUAUGAUGUAUCAGUCUCUUCCCAGGCACCUGAUACAGCCUCAUCCUCUCCUGAUAAAUGGCAACCUUUGCUCAAUAUGUCUACUGUCCUUAAUUUGGGAAUAGAUGAACACUUCAAUAUUUAAGAUGGAAAUGUCUGUAAAUGUGUUCUGUCUUCAAGGCACAUGGUUCUAAUUUUGAUAGUAGAUUUCUUCUGAUGAGUGCUAAUGUUCCUUAAUGUUCCUCAUUAACCUGUAAUUCAAGGGCAAUUUCUUAGCAUUGAUUACUACUUUCUUAAGGGCUAGGGGUGUGGCUCAGUGGUAAAACAUUUGCCUCACAUGUGUGAGGCACUGGAUUUAAUUCUCAGCACCGCAUAUAAAUAAAUGAAUGAAAUAAAGUUCCAUCAACAACUAAAAAUAUAUAUUUAAAAAAAUACCUUCUUAAACUCUUUCUUCUCCAUUACUCUGUAAGAACGCAGGUCUUCUUCCUAUCAGUGAGUGUCCUCUGUGCCUCCCUACAUUCCUUGGUCUCUCUCAUUUCACUGUCUCAAUCUGCUUUUUCCUCUCCUUCACCUUUAGGUACCCUACACCCUAUAAUCCUGCCUGAAAACCUUUAGUAGGAAGCCAUAUCCCCACCUUUAGAAGGGGUCUAGAAUUAACUUUAUUGUCUUAAUGUGGGUAGCUGCUGUUAACCCAUAUGUUUAGCCUCCACUCAGGUUUAUAUUAUAGAGAAGUGCAGUUUGUGGACUGUCUGGUAUCAGUCUGUAAAAUAUUUGUAGCUGGAUCUUGAGGAGAGAAGUAUAGACAUUGAAAGUCAAUAUGCCUCUAUCUGGCAUUUCUUCAGGCUCUGGAAUUUAUUGCCACAAGACCAAAUCUCUUCUACUUGCUCUUCAUAUUGAAGAACUUAAUGCAAUGAUGUAUAUGUGUUUAAAAAUGAAACAAAUGUUAACUAUCUAGAAUGGAGAAUUCAAAAUGACAUGAUCAAUGGUACUGAUAGAUUAUAUUAUUUAUUCCUAGUUAUUUGAUUCCUCCCCUUCAUUGUGAUGCAUUGUUGAAGGCAUGAUAAAUUCCUUACCCCUCUAACCUAGAAUUUGGCCAUAUGACUCACUUUUGUCUAUGGAUAUGACUGUCAUAAAAUCCAAGCUGAAACUUUAAAUGUGCUUCUGUGACUUGUCUUUACCUCCCCGUUGAUCUUAUGCUCUCUCCUAUGGGGAAAACAUGCUGAAGUAGUGGGUGGUCCUUCAUCCUGGGCCUCAGGUAGGCAAGAUCUGUCAGGCCAAUCAGAAUCCCACUGGAUCCCUGAAGAACCUGUGGAGCCAGUAGAACUCAGCAGAACUGUUCUAAUCCAUAGGCCUCAAGCAACAUGGGCAAGAAAUCAGUGCCAGUUGUUAAAAGCUACAGAUUUUUUUUUUUUUGUGGUUGGUAUAACAACAAAAGCUGAUUAAUAUAGGAGGUGGUAUCAAGAGUGGGUUUUACCAUAACAAAACCUUCAGAGAUGUGUCAUUGCUUCAGGUAUUGAGCAAAUUAUAAUAGGGAUCUGGAAAAACAACAACCACAGUGUGCAUUAAUGAAACACUUGGCAAAACUAUCCUAGGUGGAUAGUUUGGUACCCAUUGAGUUUGUGGUUUUGUGUCACAGGGCUUUGAGACAGAAUGUUGUGGGUGAUUAUUACCUGCAUUUGAUCAGAAACUAUGAAAAUGAUAAGCUGAGAAAAGAAUUGCCCUGUUUACAAUGAGGAAUGAAAGGGGAAAGGGAGAACAAAAAAAUUCUGGGAUUUGCUGAUUUAAUAUAUGCUACUGCUUUGCCCCCGCCCCCGAUCCCCCAAACAAAAACAAAAACAAAAAACAAUUUCUCAUUUUAACAAAUAACCUGAGGGCAAGGGAAUGUAGCCGCUAAAACAGCCUGGGAAUAGGACCAAAUCAGAUCCAUGGCUCACACCUCUGGUUCAGAUGUUUGAUUGGAUUAAUAACGUGGCUCCCAGUGAAUUAUUUCAGUUGGACAAAAUAGCUUAGAGCAAAAAAGGAGGGCACGGUCCCACUGAGGUCUGACAAGCUAAAGGUUCCUGUAAUUAAGGGAGGAAAGUACACCAGAGAGGGAGGUACAUGAGUUGAAAAUAAUUGUGCAUGUGGCUAUUAACAUAGAAGUAGACUAGAAUCAAAUAGAUUAAAAAAUAAGCAAACCAAACACUCCAACAUUUAAAAUAGGCCUAUGUUACCAAAAGUGCUUUUAGCAUGGACUAACAUACUUCACUGUGAUGUAAGAUAACUUUGUAGGGACAGGAAGCAGGGUUAGGAAGCUGCUUGACCACCAGGAGAUGGUAUUUUCCAAUGCCCUUUUCCAAUAUGGCUAAGGAUGGAAAUAAAAGAGAAUGGAACUCCUGCAGAGUGGAGGAAGUAGAUGGGGGCAGUGCUCCCAGGGAAUGGGAGUGGGCCCUGGAACAUUUUCUACCUGCAGUAUUUUCUCAGUGAGAUUUCAGAAUAGCUGUGAACUGGUGCUUUCCAUUCCUCUCCUUCUGAACAGAAGUAUUCAUUGAGGUUUCCUGUUCUUGACUUACUGCUGCAUGCUGAAUGUGCAUAUGGAGGUAGGAAAGGGAGCACUGAUUUGUCUUUUAAAUUCACAGGUCUCCAGAUAAAAAGAAGAUGCAACCUGAUUUAAUGGACACUAAGGGAUCCUAGGCUUGAAGCCCAAAGAAUUGAUUGGAUGGGACUUUGGUUCUCAGGAAGAAAGCAAAUAUUUGUGAUCAAGAGCAUGGUCUUGUACUGUUUGUUUAUAAUUAUUCAUGCUUUCCCUGCCCUUGAUUUGCUUUCCUCUAGUUGGAAUAUACUUUUCUACCCUAUUGACUUCUGGGUUGGCCCGGUGUUUUUCUGGGCAGGGGAACGUGACUGGACAUGAUAUAUGCUUGUCCAAGCAGAAGUUUUAAAUAUGCCUAUAUGGUUUGGCUUGUCUCUAUCAAUCAAUGAUUUUCUACUUCUUCUAUGAGAACCACAGGCCCUAGAUCAUGGGUGCUCCUUCAUCCUGGGUCCUGAAAUGUGAAGAUAUGUGGACUCAAUUGGAGCUCAGAGGAGUCCAGAACAGUUUAGAGAGGCCCACUCUUUUCACAGUUCUACCUAAGAUCUCAGUGAGCAAAAAUAAGUGUUUAUUCUUGGAAGGCAUUGAGAAGUGGGGGCUAUUUGUUAUUGCAGUAAAACCUGACUAUUGCAAAGGUAUUAUAAAAUAGGAGAAGAAAUUAUGCAUGAAAUGGGAAAUAUUAUGCACUAGAUUGUGCAAGUGACCAAAAUGAUGUUGAAAUAGAGCAUUUAUUGCAUAUAAUUUUGGAAAGAAAAUAAAGAAAUCAAAAUAAAUGAAAAUUCCAGUUUUUACAUUUGAGAUAAUUUUAUAAUUGAAGAAAGGCAGAAAACAUCUUUCAAAGUUAGGCACUGAUUUAAGAAUGUCAAGAGCAAGCCUGUAGUAAUGGCACUAAAGUGGUUGAUUAGAGAAAAAUGAACAUGGCAGUGGAAGUAGAUACAUUCUUUACGUCACAUUAUGUGCAUAUUUUAAAUUUGUUACCAGGAGACAUGACAUCAACUGAUAAUGAUGAUAUUUUUUGUAACACUUCAAAGAUCAUGUGCCCUCUUCUCUAGAUCUGCCUAAAUAUGAAACAUAUAAAAUUUGACCUUAAAUCUACUCGAAGAUGAAUAAGAGACUGUUAACUAAAUGCUGUUAGAGCAAUUAGAUUUAACUUACAUAAGAUAAGAGAUUCACCAGUUAAGAAAAAUGAUAGAAAAUUCAAAAGGAGACUGUAGAUGUUGGUAGAAAAUGAAAUUAAUUGAAUUUGUGCUACACAUGGUUAUUUGGUAUAAACUCUAAGUUGCUGUAUAAUGUCAUAAAAGAUUACAAAACACUCAAAUAGUUCUAAGCUUGGUUAUUUCAUUUACAAAAAUGGCUUAAAAUACUUUUAAGUUAUAUAGAGAGAUUUUUUUAUAUUUAAAGGAGUCAUGUGUGAUAUAUGCAAAAGCAAAAUUAAACAUAAAUAAAAAAUAUUAAAGCAAAAACAAGGAAAGAAAAACAUUUAUAUGACCACAGAAAAGAAGCUACAAGAAGUAGUCUCAAAUGAAAAGAGAUUUUUAGUAAAUUGAAUAGCAUAAUGCAAAAUUUUUGGCUUUUUUCCUUAAAUAGUCAAACCCUGAAAAAAAUUGAAAGGACAUGGGAAAUACUGUAUCACUCUAGAUACUGCUCUAAGAGAUAAUGAAAUCACAAUAUGAGUGAUAAUUUAUAUGAUAAACAUCCAAUACUUCCUAAUAUUUUCUGAAAUGAAGGUAAUCUUCAUAUAUGACUCCAUUAAUGUAAAACUCAUGGUGUGUUACUGAAUCUAAGUAUUGUUUUUUCUACUGACAAUUCCACUUCCUAUUGAAAAGUCUCUCCAAAUUGAAAUUAAUAAAAUGAUUAUUUCUCAAUGGUUUAAGAAAAAUUAAUAAAUUUGGUAUCACCGAGGACAGAACACAGAUUACGUGAAAUUUUUUAUCAUAAUGUUAUUAGUGA